Crotalus tigris (Tiger rattlesnake) is the source of this 360-nucleotide long non-coding RNA. RefSeq lists it as uncharacterized. The transcript has 3 exons. Lineage: Eukaryota; Metazoa; Chordata; Lepidosauria; Squamata; Viperidae. The record is from RefSeq and is a predicted model, not a curated record.
CUACGGGGGAUAUCAAUCCCGCCCUUCUAAAGAUUUGAGAACAAAUUAAGUGAUGCAGGGGGAUUUGAUGAGUUCGUUCUGUUUCUCCGAGAGUGGAUCGUAGCGUUUUGCCCUUCCUCGCCUCUCUUUCCGUUAUGACUCGUUAUUUUGACACAAGUCCUACACGAUGUACUCUCACCCGUAUCACGGUUACCCAUUCACCCUGUAUUGAGAUUCAGUAUUCAGACCAACGUAACCGCAAACAGUUGCUAAACAAGUUUCUAAUAAAGAUUACCUGUGCAGAAGAUACCUCCAAAACAAGUCUCAAAGGUGACAUCUUGAUGAGAAAAGCAAUAGUAAAAUAAACAAUUGUCACACCAA